UACAGAGGGUGCAAGCGUUAAUCGGAUUUACUGGGCGUAAAGCGCGCGUAGGCGGCUAAUUAAGUCAAAUGUGAAAUCCCCGAGCUUAACUUGGGAAUUGCAUUCGAUACUGGUUAGCUAGAGUGUGGGAGAGGAUGAUAGAAUUCCAGGUGUAGCGGUGAAAUGCGUAGAGAUCUGGAGGAAUACCGAUGGCGAAGGCAGCCAUCUGGCCUAACACUGACGCUGAGGUGCGAAAGCAUGGGGAGCAAACAGG
Molecule: ribosomal RNA, 253 nt
Filed under: uncultured bacterium
Lineage: Bacteria
Description: partial 16S ribosomal RNA
Rfam family: Bacterial small subunit ribosomal RNA
Source: RNAcentral